UUGUGGCUCAGUGGUAGAGCACUCAACUAGUAUUUGUGAGGCACUGGGUUCGGUCCUCAGCAA
RNAcentral lists this transfer RNA (63 nucleotides) under Ictidomys tridecemlineatus (thirteen-lined ground squirrel). Its description in RNAcentral is "Spermophilus tridecemlineatus (thirteen-lined ground squirrel) tRNA". It matches the Rfam family "tRNA", at positions 5 to 66 of the family's 71-position model. Rfam says of the family: Transfer RNA (tRNA) molecules are approximately 80 nucleotides in length. The record is from Rfam by way of RNAcentral. Lineage: Eukaryota; Metazoa; Chordata; Mammalia; Rodentia; Sciuridae.